Molecule: ribosomal RNA, 663 nt
Filed under: uncultured Gammaproteobacteria bacterium
Lineage: Bacteria; Pseudomonadati; Pseudomonadota; Gammaproteobacteria
Description: bacterial SSU rRNA
Rfam family: Bacterial small subunit ribosomal RNA
Source: RNAcentral
UCGAGCGGUAACAGGUGUAGCAAUACAUGCUGACGAGCGGCGAACGGGUGAGUAAUACUUUGGAAUCUUCCCAGUAGUGGGGAAUAACCAGUCGAAAGAUUGGCUAAUACCGCAUACGUCUGUAAAGGGAAAGCGGGGGCUCGUAAGACCUCGCGCUAUUGGAUGAGCCAAAGUCGGAUUAGCUAGUUGGUGGGGUAAUGGCCUACCAAGGCGACAAUCCGUAGCUGGUCUGAGAGGACGACCAGCCACACCGGAACUGAGACACGGUCCGGACUCCUACGGGAGGCAGCAGUGGGGAAUAUUGGACAAUGGGGGAAACCCUGAUCCAGCGACGCCGCGUGUGUGAAGAAGGCCUGCGGGUUGUAAAGCACUUUUAGUGGGGACAAAAAGCUACGGACUAAUACUUCGUGGUCUUGAUUUAACCCAAAGAAAAAGCACCGGCUAACUCUGUGCCAGCAGCCGCGGUAAUACAGAGGGUGCGAGCGUUAAUCGGAAUUACUGGGCGUAAAGCGCGCGUAGACGGUUUUGUAAGUCAGAUGUGAAAUCCCUGGGCUCAACCUGGGAACUGCAUUUGAUACUGCAUGGCUAGAGUAUGGAAGAGGGAAGUGGAAUUUCCGGUGUAGCGGUGAAAUGCGUAGAUAUCGGAAGGAACACCAGAGGCGA